RNAcentral lists this ribosomal RNA (253 nucleotides) under uncultured bacterium. RNAcentral describes it as "partial 16S ribosomal RNA". It matches the Rfam family "Bacterial small subunit ribosomal RNA", at positions 524 to 776 of the family's 1533-position model. The record is from RNAcentral.
UACGUAGGUGGCAAGCGUUGUCCGGAUUUACUGGGCGUAAAGGGCGCGUAGGCGGCCAUCUAAGUCAGACGUGAAAUCCCCCGGCUCAACCUGGGAACUGCGUCUGAUACUGGGAGGCUAGAGUUUGGGAGAGGGAUGUAGAAUUCCAGGUGUAGCGGUGAAAUGCGUAGAGAUCGGAAGGAACACCAGUGGCGAAGGCGGCUACCUGGACAGAUACUGACGCUGAGGCGCGAAAGCGUGGGGAGCAAACAGG